RNAcentral lists this ribosomal RNA (468 nucleotides) under uncultured bacterium. Its description in RNAcentral is "partial 16S ribosomal RNA". It matches the Rfam family "Bacterial small subunit ribosomal RNA", at positions 28 to 507 of the family's 1533-position model. The record is from RNAcentral.
GACGAACGCUGGCGGCGUGCUUAACACAUGCAAGUCGAACGGAAAGGCCCUGCUUUUGUGGGGUGCUCGAUUGGCGAACGGGUGUGUAACACGUGAGUAACCUGCCCUUGUCUUUGUGAUAACUUCACGAAACUGGGGCUAUUAUCGCAUAGGAUCUCCUGCUGCAUGGUGUGGGUUGGAAAGUUUCGGCUGUUCGGGCUGGAUUCGCGGCUUAUGCGCUUGUUUGUCGGGUAGUGGCUUACCAAGGCUUUGAAGGAUAGCCGGCCUGAGAGGGUGGCCGGCCACAUUGGGACUGAGAGACGGACCAGACUCCUACGGGAGGCAGCAGUGGGGAAUAUUGCACAAUGGGCGGAAGCGUGAUGCAGAAACGCCGCGUGCGGGAUGACGGCCUUCGGGUUGUAAACCGCUUUCGCCUGAGACGAAGCGUGAGUGACGGUAAUGGGUAAAGAAGCACCGGCUAACUACGUG